UAAGGAAAUCACUUUCGCGUGAGGAAAUACUUUACAAGUUCAAAAUUACAAAUCAUUCCAGCCAAGUGCGUUUAACAUUUAAAAGCAAAAGGAUAUUAAAUUAUUGAACUCCCAAAGAUCAAACCUAAUGUAGAUAAAUUUAGGAUAACUACAGAGUUCUAGACCUCUACCCCGUAUUCUUUUUGAUAAAAUAAACAUCCUUAUUUUUACCUAGUAAUAACUCUAAAUGAUCUAAGGCCCAGCUCUUAUAAACAAACAAAUAGUCACAACAAACAUACAAGUAAAUAUUAGUCAGUAAGGAUAAACCAAAAUAAGCUAAAAUAAUGUAAUAAAGCUUCUAUCCAAUUGUCAGGAGGAUAAAUCUCCUCAAGUCUCGCUAUUCAAAGGGACGAGUAAAGGUAUGAGGGUUCACUUCGGCAGCGGCGUGGAGUCUAACUUUGAGACUCUUUGGCUCCGGUGUGUGUAACAUGCAAAGAAAAAAAAUAAAAGAAUAAAAUUAGCAGAGGACUUAAAUCUUCAACAAGCAUGAAGAAAAUGAAACAAUGAAGCUAGGCAAAGACAAGAUUGCUUUGAGUGUGUGUCCCAAGUAUUAUAGAGACAAGGAACAGAUCUCAAAAACUUCAAAUAGGAUACAUAUUGCAAGGAAAAGAUACUUUUAUAAAACUAAAGAACGUGAUAUUUACCCAGUAUAUAUACUUGUAAGGAACUAGGAAUGGGGCAUACUUUUAAAUAUAUGUGUCACUUUAACAUGUUUCCAAACAGUUGGGUCAAGCUACUGCUACUCUAUAAGUAAUAUUUAAUUAAUUAAUUUAAGCAGUAACAAAUUCUCUUAACAAGAUCUAUGUUCACAUACUAUUUAAAAUAGUGAGUCAUUAUCUUAUACAAUAUUUUAGCAGAGUACUUCUUCCAUAUGACAUUUAAAUAAGUAAAUAGUGGCUAAUCCAUAAAAAUUCAUGGCCUACAAACAUGGUUAUUAAGUAGCUGAAAACGACAUAUUACCUAAAAGUUUAAUAAUAUGAUGUACUAUGAGCAAAUUCCAUACACAGGUUCAUAUGAGAAUUUAGUCAAACACAUGACAUUCUUAUUCAAAUUUUCUAUUGCCAGAAUACGCAAUGAACCACAAAUCAUGGUUUUUCAAUAAAAUAAUUCCUAAAGCAUGAUUUCUACAUAGAAAGCAAGUCACAUUCUUAAGCAAGCAUUUAUUAUGAAAAUAAAAAAAAUAUAAAUAAAAAAAAGGGAGAAGGAAAUUUUAAAGCUAACGGACCUGCUUGGGGCAGUGAACCGAGGGCGGCGUCAAGAAGAUCUACUAUCACCGGCUUUCGAUCAACUCCGUUUGAAGAUCGUCAAAUGCCGACAUAAAUAAAUUGAAAGCUUUGGCAUGGAUCUAGUUUUUGGGGUAAAAGGGGCGGCUCAACCUUAAGAUUAAAGAAGGGGGCCGAAGCUUGUCGGUGUAAAGAGAGGUGCAACGUCUCCAAAAGCUCUCCCCAAAUCGUUUCCCUAUGCCACUAUUUAUAGGCAAAUUAGAAUAAAAUAAUUGAAUUUUGAGUCAAGUUGGCCGUUCGAUUUUGAACGUUGGAAGCCAUGGCAGAGAUAGCACCAUGAGCAGAGAUUUUAACCCAAAAAUGGCGGGAUAUUGUCUUGUACGUAGGUGUUUGAAAGUUAAGAAUUGGCUAAAGAAAUGGAGGAAAAGUCAAGAUGAAAGGUAAAGGAGGUAAGGAUUGAAAAGGAUGGAAAGGAAAG
RNAcentral lists this long non-coding RNA (1740 nucleotides) under Nicotiana tabacum (common tobacco). Its description in RNAcentral is "long non-coding RNA (NTAB_LNC003901)". The record is from RNAcentral. Lineage: Eukaryota; Viridiplantae; Streptophyta; Magnoliopsida; Solanales; Solanaceae.